UUCGCGUGUUUGGUAUUACGCAUAUUAUAAAUAGCAACCAUAUAAUAUUUUUGCAGAGUGUAGUACCGAWACUACGAGCAACCAGUGGAAAAUUUUUUCAUAGCAGAAAACAUGAUACKGAAAUAMCUUGGAAUAUUAUUUUCACGAAUAAGUUUAUUUUCUAUAGUUUUCUUUUAAUCAAUAUGGGAAUCGCAAAUACAAAGUGUUUAUUUUUUAUUACAUUUGGCCUCCUUUGAGUUUAAUAUGUAUAAGAAUAACUAUGUAAUUGGUAUAAAUUUMACUCGAAGUGCUUUAGACGAGGUCAAAGUGAGAUCUGCCGAAAACGUAACGUCAUCUAGCUCAUCAACCGGUUCCAGCUCAAAAUUGUACAAUAUAAAAGCUACGAAGACUUUAAGCUCGAGCAUUGCCAACUUCUGACCUGCAGCAUGAAAAAUACAAGAAUGAAAACAAAAAAUUGUAUAGUUUCUGUGCUGAUUUCAACAAGAGACAUAUACCAAUACAGUUUCUCGGUCCUGCACUAAAUGGUAUGUAGACAUAGGGAUGACGUCCUUUAAUAUUUUCCGGCAAAAAUCUGUCCGGAUCAAAAACAUUUGGAUUUGGCCAAUAUUCUGAACGUCUGUGCACGCUGUAAACGUUAACUCCCAACAUCGUACCAGAUGGAAUUAAAUAAUGUUCUGCAAAAUAAAUGCAAUUACAUAGAAAAUAAAAUAAACAAUCAAUAGUAUAA
Molecule: long non-coding RNA, 727 nt
Organism: Polistes canadensis
Lineage: Eukaryota; Metazoa; Arthropoda; Insecta; Hymenoptera; Vespidae
Exons: 2
Source: RefSeq, a predicted model, not a curated record